Nematostella vectensis (starlet sea anemone) is the source of this 860-nucleotide long non-coding RNA. RefSeq lists it as uncharacterized. The record is from RefSeq and is a predicted model, not a curated record. The transcript has 2 exons. Lineage: Eukaryota; Metazoa; Cnidaria; Anthozoa; Actiniaria; Edwardsiidae.
AGAAUGAUACGCCUGACAAGCAUGAAGAGGAGGGAGCUGAUGAGACCUGAUAGGAGAGGCGACACGACCCAUGAACCAGCUGAAAAUACAAAUGGCACAAAAGCCCUGAGCUACCAGAGCAAAGCCCAUUGUAGCCCCAACAACACUAUGGGUGCCAGACACCGGUAGGUUAAAGAAUGUGGCGACCAGUAACCAGACGCUAGUGCCAGUAAGCGCUGAGAGGGAGCCAACCAUGGCAUACUCCUCAGUACCAUUAAAAGAGUUGAUGUCAAUGAUACCUUUGCGCACAGUGUCUAAAAAUGAUUAAAAAUAUUAAUGUUAUUACAACAAAAGCUUAGGAAAAUAGUUAAAGCUUUUAUCAUGUAUGUCACAUAAUUGAGCUUCUGUUUGUUAAAAGCCUAGGGAUGUCAUUCAUUAUAUUAAUUAUUAUAAUUAUAUAAUAUAUUCGAGGCCUUCCAUGCAACGGCCUUUUUUUCCGAGUGUUGACGAGAAUACCUCGAUAUUACAGAUGUUACUAAUUUGCGCAACCGCGCGUCUUUUAUUAUUUAUACGGGGACAAAUGGGGGUGAUCGUAGGAAAAAUCAAUUUUAACCUUAAAUGAUAGCACUUUGGGUGUGGUCAACAGAAAUUCUUACCCUUAUACCCUAAGAGAUAGCAAACUGUGGUCGAAGGAAUGUUUAACCCUAAGAGCAAGUUUUAACGGUGUUUAAAAGCUCCUCCUAGGGAAAUUUGGUCUUAUUUUAUACCCUAAGAGAUAGCAGAAUCGAAAAAAUCCUUCAACUUCCGCCAGGGAAAAGCAGUUGGUCGAAGUUUUAUUCUCUAAAAGAUAGGACGAUCACCCUCGUCUACUUUUCGUCUGA